GUAGCAGGUUAUAAGAUUAAUGUACAAAAAUCAGUCAUAAUUCUAUACACUAACAAGAAACUAUCAGAAAGAGAAAUUAAGGAAACAAUCCCAUUUACAUUCACAUAAAAAGAAUUUAGCUAGGAAUAAACCUAU
This is a non-coding RNA of Vicugna pacos (alpaca), 135 nucleotides long. Lineage: Eukaryota; Metazoa; Chordata; Mammalia; Artiodactyla; Camelidae. The record is from RefSeq and is a predicted model, not a curated record.